Molecule: ribosomal RNA, 292 nt
Filed under: uncultured bacterium
Lineage: Bacteria
Description: partial 16S ribosomal RNA
Rfam family: Bacterial small subunit ribosomal RNA
Source: RNAcentral
GUGUCAGCAGCCGCGGUAAUACGGAGGGUGCAAACGUUGCUCGGAAUCAUUGGGCGUAAAGCGCACGUAGGCGGUCCACCAAGUUGGAUGUGAAAGCCCUCGGCUUAACUGAGGAAGUGCAUACAAAACUAGUGGACUUGAGUACGGGAGAGGAUCGCGGAAUUCCCGGUGUAGAGGUGAAAUUCGUAGAUAUCGGGAGGAACACCAGUGGCGAAGGCGGCGAUCUGGACCGAUACUGACGCUGAGGUGCGAAAGCGUGGGGAGCAAACAGGAUUAGAUACCCCCGUAGUCC